RNAcentral lists this ribosomal RNA (253 nucleotides) under uncultured bacterium. RNAcentral's name for it is "partial 16S ribosomal RNA". It matches the Rfam family "Bacterial small subunit ribosomal RNA", at positions 524 to 776 of the family's 1533-position model. The record is from RNAcentral.
UACGGGGGGAGCAAGCGUUGUUCGGAUUUACUGGGCGUAAAGGGCGCGUAGGCGGCGCAACAAGUCACUUGUGAAAUCUCCGGGCUUAACCCGGAGCGGCCAAGUGAUACUGUCGUGCUAGAGUGCGGAAGGGGCUACUGGAAUUCUCGGUGUAGCGGUGAAAUGCGUAGAUAUCAAGAGGAACACCUGAGGUGAAGACGGGUUGCUAGGCUGACACUGACGCUGAGGCGCGAAAGCCAGGGGAGCAAACGGG